Hipposideros armiger (great roundleaf bat) is the source of this 1116-nucleotide long non-coding RNA. RefSeq lists it as uncharacterized. NCBI's taxonomy places the organism in Eukaryota, Metazoa, Chordata, Mammalia, Chiroptera, Hipposideridae. The record is from RefSeq and is a predicted model, not a curated record. The transcript has 2 exons.
ACUCAGGGCCUGAGGGGGGGAGUCCAGGACCCACACACCUCUCUCUCCUGCUCAGUUGCCACGUGGCCAAGUGGGGGCUGGACUCAGACACUGUACUUGACCUCAGCGUCAUCCCUGAGUAGUGUUGAAUCCUUUGGGACUCAGUGUCCCCAUCUGUGAGCCUGUGAUUGUGCUUGCCCUCCUCUCAGGGGGCGGGUGCGGGUGGGAAGGUCAGCUGAGAGGGAGGAUGUGUGUUCAUUGAUGCGGAGCACGUGCACUGAGGCGGCCCCAUGUGCCAUCUUAGCUGGGGGGACACAGCCUGUCUGCUGGGGCCCCAACCCCAGACUCAUCCUGCAGUCAUCCAGAGGAGGGCUCAGUCCUGAGCCAGAGACUCAGUAGGGAGAGGCCUGGGGUCGGUUCAGUGACCCAGCGCCUGCCCAGGUGACGUGGUCCCUUGGUACGAGGGCAGUGUUUUAGAUGGCACUCCUGGCUGACCAGCCUCUCUGAGCUCCACACCCAGGCCUGGCAGCAUAUUCGGACUGCACGCAGGCGCCCACACUAGCCCGCCCUAAGCACCCUUGGAGAGACCUAGCAGCCACCGAGCCCUAGGUCUAGUCCUUAGACCAUCGGAUGCCCAGGUGAGGUGCAUGUGAACCAGAAGAGGCGUGAACAGGUCAGAUGCACAGGUGGCCGGGGCAUUGCUGGCGUGCCGGUGGCUGCAGGACAUCAGGCCUGGGCUCAGUGCUGUUGAAACUGGGAGGUAAAUAAGGUAGGAGGUAGGUAUGGAUGCCGGGAGCCCCAAAGCCACCCCGGCUGGCAGGCCUGUCACACAGCCUCAUACCCUUGCCUGCAUGUUACAGCAGCUGCAAGUCUAGCAGUCGUGGGUCCUUGCGGCUGAAUCCCGUGCUGGGCUCUGAGACAGGACCAGUGUGAGGCUGGGGAAAAGCCCCUACGGCUCGAGCAGGUGGCAGGCACGAGACCGCCAGCAGCCCCAGGCGUCCUCCCGAGUUGCCCACAUCAGAGCGGCCAGCAGCCAGAAUCGGGGUGGUGCGUCUCUGUGACUCCUGAACUCCCCCAUCUCCUGACCCUGGCUCCCCAGCCUCAGUCUCCCUGUAAUAAAUGUCUUUCUGCCUAAAA